UACUAAUGACCUGGACAGACUCUUCUUCCGAAAACUUCAGAUUUUCAAGCAUCGCGUUGAUAUCUUCAGCCAUGGUAAAACUAGGCCACUACCCAGGACAACUACUCCUCCGGACACUACCAGGAUUGUAACCAGGACUCAAGUCCAAGACCAACCUAUCAACGUGAUAGAGAACAGAAUACAACGACAAAGAAUAUAGAAAAGCAAAC
Molecule: long non-coding RNA, 209 nt
Filed under: Gossypium raimondii (Peruvian cotton)
Lineage: Eukaryota; Viridiplantae; Streptophyta; Magnoliopsida; Malvales; Malvaceae
Description: long non-coding RNA (GRAI_LNC004844)
Source: RNAcentral